This 749-nucleotide unclassified non-coding RNA is filed under the name Bombus terrestris (buff-tailed bumblebee). RNAcentral describes it as "misc RNA ENSBTSG00005028368.1". Lineage: Eukaryota; Metazoa; Arthropoda; Insecta; Hymenoptera; Apidae. The record is from RNAcentral.
UCGUAAUUCUGUUCUUUGGUAAAUGGCCCGAUACCACCUGGUUUCUCUUGCAACAGACGUUCUAAUGCUGGGGACGUUGAGUUAUCCGAUUCCACGGGAACGUUGCAUUCGCCUGCGAAGAGAGGAAGUAGGACGGGUUUCCCAGAUUCUAAGCUCAGACUCUUUUUGCAGACGGAGAGAGUCUUUCCAAAGCUGUCGAUAAUGGCUACUUUGUCGAUGCUCCAGGACACCAAACCCGAAGAGAUCCAGCCGCUGUACGCCGUGUACUUGAUCUGUAACAUUUGCAACAGAAUAAAUAAGGGUGCGGUACAACAAUUUUCUGAAGAAUCGAACCAACCAGAAGCUCUUCGUCCUUGCGCGUCAUCGCAAACGUAUCGUUGAAAGAUCCUUCUCCGACCAGAGUUACCUGCAGUUUCCCGUAACUCCUAGCGGGUCUUUCGCUGCGACUAUUAUACACUUUCACCUGGUACUGGUGAGCACAGAAAGGUUCUUCGUCUCUCGUUACCAGGUAGAGUUGUCCUCUGGCAGGUGAUUCAUCGCUAUAGUAACCCAUGUCGCCGCAAGGUCCGCCCAUGCUGUUCGCACCGCAAGGAAAACACUCGCCACGAAGAAGACCGUCGUAUCCAUUGUCGCAUGGAAACGCUGGAAAUCGGCACUUUGGGCUUACAGAGUCAGUGAACAGCUUGUAGGCCCUUCGAUGGUUACACAGGGAUCUACCCUCGACAGCGCUUGCUGCAACGUGAACAUUU